RNAcentral lists this long non-coding RNA (599 nucleotides) under Marmota monax (woodchuck). The record is from RNAcentral. Lineage: Eukaryota; Metazoa; Chordata; Mammalia; Rodentia; Sciuridae.
UAGGUAGGAUUUAUCUUUUACCUAGCCUUAUGUUCCCCAGGUUUGGGCCUUCUAGGUUCAUUGGUUUGCUGUCAGUAUUUCAGCUUUUAUUUUAAGGUUUCACUUCAUUUUGACCUAUAUGGGUAAAUGAAAAUGGAGCUGGCAAUCAAACAGGGUUUUUGCUAGCUGCUUGAAACUUCACACACUCAAUCAGUUCCCUGUGAGGACGCUCUGGUUUUAUCCUUGUGAAAGUAUCCCAAAGAUGAAGCAUGAAAAACAACUCUAUGCAAGAGCAUUUUAGGAGACAACAUGAAAAUAUGCAUGUACUGAACUACCUCCCCCAAUCAUUUGGUGUGAUUUCUUUAAUACUGGGCAAGAUUCAUCUGUUAGCUUUCCCCACUAGGCUCCACAACUUUGAGACUUCUAUGAUCAAAGGUUCUCUAAACAGGUUAGUGUUAGGCUUAUGUUUAGAGUUAGGUCUAGUGUUAGGGUUAGAGUUUGUCUUGUUCAAAUUUCUUUGAUACUGGGCAGGAUACAUUUUUACCUAGCCUUACUAUGUUCCCCAGGUUUCGGCCUUCUCAGUUCAAUUCUUUGUGUGGAACAAUUUGUAUUUUACAGAU